GGGCGUGCCUUGGUACAUGGUGCUGCAUGUCUGUCGUUUGACUCGGUGCCGUUGGUGGACGCACUGGAGGUGUCUAGAAGGGGCCGUUGGUGAACGAUACGUGUGAGUUUAGUACCUGUACCGGAGAGGAGGCUCGCCUCGGAGGUCACUCGUCCUGCCGUAGGGGCAGCAGCUGGACCGGCAGGAGGAGUUGCCGCUGCGGCCGCUUGCCAGCGUCCGCUAGGCCGUGGAGCCGGCCCGCACGGUUGUGACCCCGAAGAAGUACCACUGGUUGGUACCCCACGGGCUCCGAGAGGUCUCGCGCUACUACCUGCGCACGUCCCUCGACAAGCCGGAUGGUGGCCUCCUUUUACGCCUCAAGUACCUGCGGCCGGGGUACCUGGGGCACGCGCAGCCGUGCCCGAAGUUGAGGCGGCAGCUGCCGCGGUCCAUGACCGCCCUGAUGCAGUUCUACAAGCGCGUGGGGCUCGAGGUGACGGGGCGGUUCGGGCUGCGGGACGCCCCGCACCGGCGCCUCAUGCGCCGCGCGUGGUCCCGGGACGACGACCUGGAGUGCCGCCGGUAGAGGCUCUCGGACCCCGAGGUGCGGCCGGCGCAGCGACUCGCGGAGCUGGACCCCAGGACGAAGGUCUAGGAGCAGCCGUUGGUAAUGGGCGGCACGCGACGGCCGGGCCCGCUGCUGCUGCUACCCCGACAGCCCGACGGCCGAGUGAGACUGGUGCCGGAGGAGUGAGACGAGACGGUCUUGCCGCAGCUACCGGAGGUCCAGUUCGUGCUGCCGGCCACCGAGGAGCGGUUCGGGUAGGGGCCGCGUAAGAAGCAGUAGCGCCCGCUAGUCGAGCUCUAACACUCGUUACCUUCCAUAUUCCCGCACGAGGUGGCGCGUAACCAGCUGGCGCUCGUCCGCUCCUACAGCACGCACUCGGAGUAGCCCGGCACGGACCUGCGGCAGCAGCUCGGUCACGGCCUCGACCGGCACGGUGGGGACCCAGAGCCGGAGCUCAAGUCCCCCCAGUUCAUGUCCCUGAUGUACCUUGUGGUCGUCUCGUUGUUCGAGUUGCUGUUCCCUCGUGACCUGGAGCAAGCCCACGUCUUUGCGGGUCGUUAAGAAAUAUGGAUUAAAUAUGAUCUCGUACUAAGGAGUCCAAUUUUAAGAGUUCAACUGGUUUUUAAGGCACAGGUAUAAACAAAAUAAAAUCGUUGGCUGGUCUGGAGACCGAAAAGUAGUAAUUAUUCUUAACGCUCUUAACUGUCAUGAUAGUUCUCGUCGCAUGGGGAACCGGAGAGAGCGUUGACGGCCCCUUUGGGCCUAAAGAAACGGAGGGCAGGCGUGGUGGCAGCUAGGCGGAGCAGACCACAAUAGUUCCGGUGCCUCCGCGUCACCUAGAGCCGGGAACGGCCGCCCACCAAAGAGAAAAGACGAAAAAUCAAAAAAUCCAGCUAAACCUAACCACAAGACGAAUCUUUCUGCUCCGCCACUGCCGAUGGACUUCUACCUUAUAUUAGGAGGAGUAGAGCUAGUGCAGGAUUGUCGCACAGAUCACAACAGUUUCCCGCACAACCCCACAGAGGGACUAUCUAGUGCACCAUAAGAUAGCCACAACCAGAAGUUGUCUAAAAGCACUUAGGUCAGAAGCAAGCACAUAGAAAUGUAACCUAGGAAAGUUAGAUGUAAAGAGAAGUAGCCACCCGCCAACUACAAGCCCACCCUUUAAAGAUAAACGGCGAGCAACGCCGUUCAUCAGAUCCGUUUUAAAAGAUAAACGGCGAGCAACGCCGUUCAUCAGAUCCGUUGCGUGUCCCCGUGUAGCUCCUCGCAACCUUUCCCGGCCGGACAAGUUUGUUAACUCGCUAAGGCCAAAACCCCUUAGAAGAUCCACCAAAAGUCGGUAAAAAAAGGAGCAAAACCCUUGGAAGAUCUUCCAAGGACUUGACCGAAAAGAUAAAGGGGAAAAGGAAAACAGAAAGAAAAAAACAAAGAAAGAAAAACGCAAAAUUAAAAACGAAAAGAUAGAAGAAAAGAAAAGUAUCGUGAAAUAAAAAAAAUAAAAAGUACAAAGCAAAUAAACUUUCGAAGUUUAUAAAUAAAUCUUAAAAUAUUGUACAAGAGCAAGAGUUUUAAACGAG
This 2127-nucleotide ribosomal RNA is filed under the name Triticum aestivum (bread wheat). Its description in RNAcentral is "partial small subunit ribosomal RNA". Lineage: Eukaryota; Viridiplantae; Streptophyta; Magnoliopsida; Poales; Poaceae. The record is from RNAcentral.